CAGAUGGUUUCCCGGAACUAUAGAUGUUCCAUAUUCGCCUCCCAACUGACAACCCACUGCCUGAUAACCGAUGAUCAUCGAUCUGCAUGCUAAAUUUCUGCCGUGCGACUCUUAUCAACCCAAAGCCAGCUGAUAAGACAAGAGAACGAGAGCAGAGCGCGGAGAGCGAAGACCAAAGAGAGUUGAGUUGAGCCAGGGCAUUGCGUCAAGUGCGCUAAUCGCUGGCUCCGAAUCGAAACCAGGGCUACAGCCACCGCCGAGCCAAGCAACAACAAUUGCCGUUAACAAUUGUCGGAGCGACAGCACACUGCGCAAAUUGCACGUCGCGCAGUGUACGACAGUGGGCAACAACAACAGCACAGCAGCUAUCAAGGCGUACGUACGUACGAACAUUCACCAAGCCGCUUGCCCCAACCAACAAAGACUCCACUCCACAUCCCGUACAUACGUAUGUACAUCCACAUCUACAUCCAAUGUUGCUGACUCGACUCACCGCUUACAUACAGACGCUCGCUCGUCUAUAUGUAGGUGUGAGCGAGAGAGCAGAGCCGAACGACCGACACACGAAGUACAGUCGCACAGUUAAAAAUAAAGUGUGGGCCGCUGCGACGGGUCGGGGAACGAGCGGUACAGGCAGGCAAAGAGAAAAGAGCGAGGCGAGCGAGGGUAAAACAACAAAGCGAAUGCUGGUAAAUAAUGAUGAUGGAACCAGUGUGCUGUGUGUAUGGUAAGAGCUGCCAUCGCUGUCUCUCUGUUCGCUGCUGUUGUUGCUGCUUUUGCUGUGCUGUGCUGUUGAUAGCGAGGGACGUAAUAUCGCAACUUUUGCCGUUCCAAAAGCACGGAGCCAAGCGAACGUUCGUCGUUCGUUCGUUCGAGUUUAAUUUUGUAGUACGUAGCAGGAAAAAAAAGAAACGACGAAAAAUAAAUGAUGGCGGCAACAACAACAACGACGGCGACGACGACUGACUUGGCAGUGCUGCGUUCCGAUUUUUGUUGAAAAUAUUUUUGUUUCUUUUUUUUUUUGCGUUUCGAAAACACUCGAAGUGCUAAGGAAGAAGAAGCAGAGAUGGAGAAUGAGGAACAAGAAGAAGAAGAAGAGGCUUACGGCGACCGUUUUUCUAGUGCGUUUCGCUUAGAAUGGCAAAAAUCUCAAAGGGGACAACGAAUCCCACCCCAAAGCGAAAACCCAUCAUCAUAUCACAACCCCCCACUUUAUAGUAGUGUGGUGAGUGGUGGCAAGUGGUAAGUACGGCCUCGCACGCUCGAUUUAGCGAAGGUUGCUGCUUUGCUAUGCUAGCGUGGUGGGAUAACGGAUGUUGGAUAUAUUCGUCGGAUGUCGGACAACGUCCGCAGCGUAGCGCGCGCAAAUUCACGUAGUUUGAAUCGGUUUCGGAUUUGUACUCGCCAGCGCAGCGCCACAAAGCUAACGGAUCGAACCAAGGUUGGCCCCUGGCAUUUUCCUAUGGCAUAUAUUGUAUGAGGCAAUCGAAACGUGAAGAGUGUUUCGAAGUAUCGCGGACUGCCAAAGACUUUAUAUCGAAUCUUGUUGAUUGUUCAUAAGGCUGUCAUAGUUUUUAAGAUAAUACAUUGUACUAAAUAAUCUGAUUAAUA
Non-coding RNA from Drosophila suzukii, 1611 nucleotides. The record is from RefSeq and is a predicted model, not a curated record. NCBI's taxonomy places the organism in Eukaryota, Metazoa, Arthropoda, Insecta, Diptera, Drosophilidae.